Molecule: ribosomal RNA, 619 nt
Filed under: uncultured bacterium
Lineage: Bacteria
Description: bacterial SSU rRNA
Rfam family: Bacterial small subunit ribosomal RNA
Source: RNAcentral
AACGCUGGCGGCAGGCUUAACACAUGCAAGUCGAGCGGGGUGAUGUAGCUUGCUACAUUACCUAGCGGCGGACGGGUGAGUAAUGCUUAGGAAUCUGCCUAUUAGUGGGGGACAACAUUCCGAAAGGAAUGCUAAUACCGCAUACCCCCUACGGGGGAAAGCAGGGGAUCUUCGGACUUUGCGCUAAUAGAUGAGCCUAAGUCAAAUUAGCUAGUUGGUGGGGUAAGGGCCUACCAAGGCGACUAUCUGUAGCGGGUCUGAGAGGAUGAUCCGCCACACUGGGACUGAGACACGGCCCACACUCCUACGGGAGGCAGCAGUGGGGAAUAUUGGACAAUGGGCGCAAGCCUGAUCCAGCCAUGCCGCGUGUGUGAAGAAGGUCUUUUGGUUGUAAAGCACUUUAAGCGAGGAGGAGGCUACUUAUAUUAAUACUCUAGGAUAGUGGACGUUACUCGCAAAAUAAGCACCGGCUAUCUCUGUGCCAGCAGCCGCGGUAAUACAGAGGGUGCGAGCGUUAAUCGGAUUUACUGGGCGUAAAGCGUGCGUAGGCGGCUUUUUAAGUCGGAUGUGAAAUCCCUGAGCUUAACUUAGGAAUUGCAUUCGAUACUGGGAAGCUAGA